Pelobates cultripes (western spadefoot toad) is the source of this 39692-nucleotide non-coding RNA. Lineage: Eukaryota; Metazoa; Chordata; Amphibia; Anura; Pelobatidae. The record is from the annotation of a GenBank genome assembly.
CUUCUGUUCAGUGACUGGCAGGAGAGUAGCGCUGUGCUGUGUGCUCCCCUUCUGUGCACCAACCCUGAAGUAAUGGCGGUCCGAGGUCACACGGGUCCUAGCUGUGGUUGGACCCUCUAGUAGUUAUGCCACUGCUUUCAGGUAAGUUUACGUUUUGCUAUCGAAAUUUAAGGUGUCCCUAUAGGUAUACACUGAUCAGACACAACAUUAAAACAACCUGCCUAAUAUCAUGUAGGUCCCCUCGUGCUAAAACAGCUCUGAUGCAUUGAGACAUGGACUCCACAAGACCUUUGAAUGUGUCCUGUGGCACCGAGACAUUAGCAGCAGAUCCUUUAAGUUCAGCAAGUUGCGAAGUGGAGCCUCCAUGGAUCGAAUUUGUUGUUCCAGCAAAUCCUACUAAUGCUCAUUUGGAUGAAGAUCUGGGGAGUUUGGGGGCCAAGGCAACACCUUGAAGCUAUUUCAAAUUUCUUAAACCAUUAUUGAAAAGUUUUUGCUGUGUUGCAGGGUGCAUUAUCUUCCUGAAAGAGGUCACUGACAUCAGGGAACACCAUUGCCAUGAAGGGGUGUUUGUGGUCUGCAACAAUCUCUAGGUAGAGAGUAUGUAUCAAAGUAACAUCCAUAUGAAUGCCAGGAACCAAGGUUUCACAGCAGAAUAUUGCUUCUCCAAAAUAUAUAUAUGAGGAAUGCUUUUUGUUCAAAGCUACAUAUAGGGAAGUCAAGAUGAAAUAAGAAAGUUUGAGGAAAAAGUUCUUGUAUAUAUAAAGUUUUAAAGAUAUUUAUAAUAUUAUUUUUAGUUUUAGCUAAGCCAUUGCAUUCCCACCACAUAUGGUACAAUGUUCCUACCAUACUAUUACAUCUCCGGCAGAGAUCUGAAUAGUUAUAUUUAAACGUUUUGAUUCUAUGAGGAAUGUGAUACCAUCGAUGCAUCAUUUAAAAAAAAGUUUCAUGGAGGUUAAGACUAUGAGUGUUUUGUUUUUUUAACUUGUAUAAAAGCCUUCCCCCAAUCAUCUAUUGAGAAUGACUUAUUCAUUUCUACUUCCCAUUUAUUUAAUGAUAGAGGCUUUUCUGUAUCCUUGAUAGAUUUUAAUAGUUGCGUAGCUCUAAAGAUAUGUUUGUUUUUAAAAUGUUUAUUAAUGAGGUUUUCAUAUUCAGGGUGUUCCUUAACACUAAGGAAAACAAUUAGAUGCCUAAUUCUAAUAUAAUUAUAGAACUCUUGUUCGGGAAGUCCGAGUUGAGUUCGCAAUUCUGCAAAGGAUUUGAGUUUCCUUAAAGGAGCUAUUUGUGAUAAAUUAUGGAUAUUACAGUGUCUCAAUUUAGUUAAAUCAAUAUCUUGUAUAUAAACCUGUAAACAUCAAUAGGUGUAGACAGGAGGAGUUGGUUCGAAAUCCCUAAUUUAUUUCUAAAUAUGUUUAAUGCUGUUAUUAUAUCAUUUAUAUUUGAUGAUAAAAAAAAUUAUAAUAAUUUGAAUCAAUCCAAGCUAAGUUGAAUAAGGAUAUUCUAGAAUUAGAUCUUUCUUCCAUUGUCUUCCAUCCUGGAUUUGGAAAUAUCUGCUUGUCCCAUUUUAAAAAAUGAGUAAAUAUUGUAAUGUCAUGCAAUUCCAUUAUAUCUGGGAAAUUUAUUCAACAUUUUAAGACUCUUUUUUUGUGACAAUCUUUAUUAACAUUUUGUAUCAUCAUUUUCAUUUUAACACAGUAUAUCAGUAUGAUAAAAGUAUGGUAUAAUUGACAAAAGCGUUUAGGCCUCGAAUAGCAUAGUCACAUUUCCAUAACCGUGUGCUUAUCACUCAAUGUAAUACCAAACAUCUUUCCGCCUCAAUGGCGUUUGUGGUCUUUGUUUGCUGUCUCGUGUCCAGUAAAUGUGUUGCGUGCGUGGUAGUCUGUGUUUGUCUGCAGGUUUCAGUGGUAGCAUUGGUUACGUUAAUUCCUGCCUUUGCAGACAUGGUGCAUAUCCCUAACAGGGGGUUGGGUCGUCAUCACUUAAUAUCAGGUACGCAUGUACGAACCUUCCCUAUCAGUCUUUGUACCAGUGUUGUGUAUCACGGCUGCAGUAUUAUCCAGGUUGAGGGAACGAUCAACUGCGAAGAACGUAGAAAGGGGUUAAGGAGGGGGGAAGGUCGAGGAAAGGAGAGAAACACCUGGAGAGGAGAAAAGGUGAGAGGAGAGGGGGAGAAGGUAGAGAAUAAUCGAGGAGGGUUGUAUGUUUGCGGCCACCUCCCUCUGCACCCCUCAUCCAACCGCACCCCCCCCAAUAUACCGUCCGUCAUUGGAAGAUCUCUAUUGGGCUUGCCCACCCAUACAGGCCCCAGUGAUGUAUAAGAGCUAGGGGGCCAGGUUUGUACACACUACUCCGUGCGUCCCCAUAGGGCUGCUGUCAAAGACUCCAUGUUGUAUAUUUCAUCGACUUUAGCUACCCAUUGCUGGAGGGUGGGGACAUCAGUCCAUUUUCAAUGUAAUGGCAUCAGGGACUUAGCCGCAGUUAGCAGAGGGAGGGUCAGUGAUUGUUUGUAUUGUUUCAAUGACAUUGUGGUGUGGUGCAGCAGCAUGGUUAGAGGUUGGAAUGCUAGGGUGGUGUGAUUUCUUGUAUUUUAGUAUGUAUCAUCUUCCAGUAGGGGGCAAUAGCGGGGCAGGACCACCAUAUGUGGAGGCCGGACGCCCCUUUCUGUCUGCACCGCCAGCAUUCCUGUUAGUUAUCUGCGUUCAUUCGGUGCAGGACGUCUGGCGUCCGGUACCAGAAUGUUAGCAGCUUGUAGCUUAAUUCCUAGAACUUAGAGCUAAUGGAGCAUUUGUGAUGGUUAAGAUUUUAUUCCACUCCUGUUCUGAGAGGGUGACUCCCGUUUCCCUUUCCCAUCUACUUGUGUACCCGAGUGUUAUUUCUCCUCUGUUGGACAUAAGCAGUGUGUACAUGGUAGAGAUGCCCUUUGAGACUUGUUCCCUCCUGGCGCAUAGCGUCUCAAACUGUGUCAGAGUUCUGUGUAUCUGUCCUCGUCCAGUUAGGGACCCAUAGUAUUUUUUCACUUGGUGGUAUCGGAACAGCUCUAAUGGGGUCGCUGGUCUGUCAUGUAUCAACGCAGUGAUGGGUUGGAGCUGUGUGGGUGUGCACCAAUGUUGCAAAUGCAUCCAGUCUGCUUUCCGGAGUCCCACCAGGUCUCACGCGCUCAGACCCCUGCCAGAUCUGGGUUGUUCGUGAUUGGGGUAAGUGGGUUGGGUGACGUAAUCAGCUGUCGUUGGAAGCGGAGCACACACCAGAUGACCAUUGUGGCAUCUUUCAUGGGGUUAUUUGUGCGUAGAGAGCUCACUGUCGAUUUACCCAGCCAAAGCUCAGAUGGGAUCUUACCUUCAGCUUGUUGGAUCUCUAAGGACACCCAUAGCAAUAUGUAAAUAAUAAUCGAGACAGAGAUGAGGGCUUCUUAAAGGAAACACACCAUAUCAAAGUCGACAUUCAUUCCUUCGGGCUGUAUCGUUUUUAGAGUUUUUAGAGAAGCCCUCCCUCUGCCUCAAUUUAAGUGGUCUGAAAACAUGCUCCUUUUUGUGCCAUCGUGUAACCAGGGUAAAAAAAAAUGAGGAAUAUACAAUAUAUCUAAAAUAAAACCGAUAAAUAAGUAAAAUAACAAUAAAAAUAUAUGAAUUUUACAAUAAAAAAUACAAAGGUACCAAAUAUAAGAGAUAAAAAGUAUUUUUGGGUCAUAAAGGUCUUCAAGUGUUCAAUAGACGUCUAUGGUAUGACUUCAAAAUUCAGCAGCAUAUGCAAAAGAAAAUAUAGGAAACCAAUAGUGCAAUAUUGUAAGUCUAUGGACUGUAUAUAUAACACUGAGAUAAAAAUUGCCAACUCACGUCUAUAGAGCUGUAACCAGCUCUAGGUAAAACAGCAUACAGUGGUUAUUGUUUUUAAACUUAAGAAAAACAGGUCUGACCAUGUGAUAGAGCCUAUCUCUGAGGAGACGAUGUUAUUUAGAAAAUGAACCUUGAUGACAAACAGAUCAAUCCUGGAAUAUGAGUUAUGAAAAAAAAGUAAAAUCUUUGUUUCCAGGAUUAAACAUUCUCCAAAUAUCAUACAGGAAAUUUUUCAUUAAAAGAUGCUGACGGGAUUUGGCAGUUUGUUUUUCAAUUGUGGGUCCUUGGACAUAUUGGCCAUAUAACUAUAGUUUAAUGUCAUGUACACAAUUAAAAUACCCUCCUAGAAUCAGUAAACCCUGUGUUAUUUGAUCUAUUCUAUUAAUAAUUUUCCAAAGAAAUCUAAUUGGAGACUGAUUAGGAUUGUAAAUGUUUACUAAUGUGUAAAUUAUGUCGUUGAUCUUACAUAUCAAUAUAAUAUAUCUGCCAUUUUCAUCUGUCUCCUCAAAGAUAGGCCCAAAUUUGAUCUUAUUGGAAAUUAUUAUUGGCACCCCCUUUUUUAUUUAUUUUUAAAAUUGGAUUGAUAUAUCCAAGGAAAAAGCGAGAACUUCCAGAGUUUCUUUGCAGGCUCAAUCCAGUGAGUUUCCUGGACUUAUGCCACAUCAAUGUGUUUUUGGCAUAAAGUGUGAUACAUUUGGCCUUUUUUUUUAGGGAUAUUGAGACCCUGAGCAUUGACUGAAACUAAAUUAAGUGUCAUUUAUACUUCUCCUUUCCUUCGUUUACCCAUCCGAUCAUUAGUAUAUUCACGUUCCAGGACCCGGAAAGACAAUAAAAAAUAAAAAUAAACUACAUUUAACACAUUCAUUCUCCAUACAUACGUAAAGCAAAUUUUUCAGUUGACCGGAAAUAUCAUUCCUGAUCAGACCUAAUAUCACCUUAGGUCACAUUCAUGGCGUGCUGGCGUACUGGAGUAAAAAUUCUUCAGUUAACUAUAUGAUAAAUUCCAUUACAAUCGUUGAACUCUCUCCUCUCCCUGCCUUUAUUGUUCCUCCUUACAUCUCUCCCCUUCCUUGCUCCCUCUGCUGUCUAUCCAACAGUAGAACAGUAGGCAUACAUGGCUACAAAAAUGUUGAGAUACGAUACUACAAACUGCAAAGAUCUACUGAGUUCAGAGUGCUCCUUCUUUAAAUUCUGUCAUUUUUUUGGACUGUCCCCACAACCAUCAACACUAUGAGGAAUGCGCUCAGCCACUGUGGGUCCCCAAACACUGCCUGGGAUAUGGGAUACUGUACUUUUUAUAAAUAAGGAAAAGAACUCAAACCUUUAAAUGUGUUUUAAAAUGCCCAACCAAGAGUUUUAAUAUUAUAUUACCAACAUUUCAAUUAAGGUAAUUGUUGAAUAUAAAAAGGGUAUAAAUCGGAUGAUCAUAUAAUAAGAUGAAUAGCCAAAGGAGAGCUGAUAGCCCUGUGAAAAAUAUAUAGUGGCGAAACCUGUUAGCUUUCAUUAGCUGCGUCAAGCAAAUUAAAUAUUUAUUGAAGCAUCAUCAUCCUCCUUCAAUCCAUGGAGAUCCGGGGAACCCACCCAAACUAUUCCUGGUCUGAGAUGGUUUAAAAUCCCAAGAAGAAUUUAAGGGGUGGCAUUUCACUUUAUAUGACCCAAAAUAAUCUUUCAGCAACGGUUGGUAUACAUGACAGUUGUGCCAGUGUUUGGUAUAUUUAGCAUUACAAACAUUUGUGCAUUUACAGAGCACAUUAUAAUGCAUCACGCAACUGAGAGUGUAGAAGCAUCUUAAUUAGGCUAUAACCAUACAAGAUGUAACUAUUUAUGACCUGUCAGUUGCACUGCUGAGAAUGUCACAAAGUAUCAUGACUCGGCCUGGUUUCGGCUGUCUCUACUCUUGUCCAAUGUAUUUGUAACUUUGAAUUCCUAGUCAAUAAAAGGGCCAUUACAGACCUGAGGCAGGAAUGUUCAAUUGUUUUUAAGGUUUGUUGUUUUUUACUGAGGCCUUUGCAGAUGUUUUGAUUAUUUAAGCAAUGAAAAAUUAUAACUACUGUUCAUUUCCCAGAGUUUAUGGAAGGAGCAGAAUUUUCUAUUAUUUUUUUUGAAAAUUCUUUAUUUUUCACAAAAAGAAGUGCAUAUGUGUGACAAUGUAUAGGCUUACGCAGAAGCCACAGUACGUUUUCAGAUGAUUCAGGUAUACAGAAGGGAAGAGUGAUACGUUAAGACAAGUUGCAUGCUUACUAACACCCAGGGGCGUACAUAGAGCAUUUGGCACCCGGGGCGGAUCCUGUGCUUGGCACCCCCUUGCCCCCUCCCUGCCCCCCCCCCCAAAAAAAAACCUGUAAAAAAUGUUAAAGGUUUUCUUUCUUUUUUUUUACAAUUUGUAAACUUUGCAAAACUGCUGUCAGCCCCUCCUACAAAACCCUUGUCCUGCCCCGCCCCUCCUACAAAACCUCUGUCCUGCCCCUUCUACAAAUCCUGUCCUGCCCCUUCUACAAAAUCCCUGCAGCCCCACACACACAUUUACAGGCAGACAGUCACACACUCAGUUACAGGCAGACUGUCACACACUCAGUUACAUGCACACAGACACACAUGCAGUCACAGACAGUCAUAUAUACAUUGACACACAAACAUGACAGCAGCAGACAGUCACAUGCACACAGUCACAGACAGUCACACACAGUUACAGGCAGACAGUUACACACAGACAGUCUCACACACACACACACACACACACACACACACACACAGACAGACACUCUUACUUACAGACAGUGGGAUGGAGGAGGACUGGAUUCCCUGAAGUCCUUCUCUGAAGCCUGUGGAGAAGCAGAGAUUUCAUCUUGCUGCACCUCCUAACAGCUGUGGGUAAGGGCCAUAUUAAGUCCCGCCUCCAGUGCCAGUUUUGCUCCACCCCACUUUUCCUCUGUGCGGCCAGUUUAUCAGCUGUUUGCUUGUGUGAGCUAUACUGGCCGCAUGGUACCCAGUGGCGUACAUACCAGGGUCGCGGGCCCGGCCGCCCCUGCGACCCGGUAUGUAGCCAUAGGGCCAGCCUCUUCCCCUGGGGGGCCCAUGAGCUGACCACCCCAGGGCCCCCCGAGGCUGGCCCUGCUGUCACCGGGUGGCCGGUCGGGCAGGCAGGCGGGCGCGCGAGGGAGCACUCAGUGCUUCCUCUUCAGCUCCCUCGCGCACCGCACUGAUACCGGAGCCGGAAGAUGACAUCAUCUUCCGGCGCCGGCAUCCCUACGCGGCGCGCAAGGGAGCUGAAGAGGAAGCACUGAGUGCUCCCUCGCGCGCCCGCCUGCCUGCCCGACCGGCCACCCGCACAGGAGCCCAGCAGCACCACUGGACCCCAGGGAAUCCCCCCAGCACUCCAAAAGGUAAGGAGGCUGGGGGGAUUACAUUUAAAAAAAAUACAAAAAAAAACGUGUUAGUGUUUGAGUGUGUGUGAGUGUUAGAGUGAAUGGUAGUGUUAGAGUGAGUGUUAGUGUGAGUGUUAGAGUGAGUGUGAGUGUUAGAGUGAGUGUUAGUGUGUGUGUCUUACUGAGUUUGUUUGAUGUCUGUUAGUGAGUGUGUGUUUGUCAAUGAGAGUGUAUGUUUUGUAAGUGAGUGUGUAUGUAUGUCUGUCGCUGAGUAUGUCUCUGUCAGUAAAUGUGUGUGUCUGUUAGCUAGUGUGUAUGCGUGUGUUCGUGAGAGUGUGUGUGUGUGUGUGUCUAUUAGCUAGUGUGUAUGCGUCUGUUCAUGAGAGUGUGUGUGUGUGUGUCUUCAGCACUUACCUUUCUCCAGCGCCGGACUCCCUUGGCACUGGGGAUCCCUCUGCCUCUCAGCUCCGAAUGAGACCGCGCACGCAUUCAAACCGCCCAUAGGAAAGCAUUACUCAAUGCUUUCCUAUGGACGUUCAGUGUGCUCCUCUAGCGGCUGUCAGUGAGACAGCCACUAGAGGCUGGAUUAACUCUCAGUGAAACAUAGCAGUUUCUCUGAAACUGCUAUGUUUUCAGCUGCAGGGUUAAAACUAGAGGGACCUGACACCCAGACAACUUCAUUGAGCUGAUGUGAUCUGGGUGUCUGUAGUGGUCCUUGAAAGGACCACUAUAGUGCCAGGAAAACAUACUCGUUUUCCUGGCACUAUAGUACCCUGAGGGUGCCCCCACCCUGAGGGACCCCCUCCCGCCCGGCUCUGGAAAGGGGAAAAGGGGUAAAACUUACCUUUUUCCAGCGCUGUGCAGAUAGCUCUCCUCCUCCGAUCCUCCUCUUCUCCUCCCUGUCGGCUGUAUGCGCACGCGCGGCAAGAGCUGCGCGCGCAUUCAGCCGGUCACAUAGGAAAGCAUUCAUAAUGCUUUCCUAUGGACGCUGGCGUGCUCUCACUGUGAAAAUCACAGUGAGAAGCACGCAAGCGCCUCUAGUGGCUGUCAAUGAGACAGCCACUAGAGGAAAUAGGGGAAGGCUUAACCCAUUCAUAAACAUAGCAGUUUCUCUGAAACUGCUAUGUUUAUGAAAAAAUGGGUUAACCCUAGCUGGACCUGGCACCCAGACCACUUCAUUAAGCUGAAGUGGUCUGGGUGCCUAGAGUGGUCCUUUAAGUGUGUGUGCAUCUGCAUGCACUGUACAUACCCUGUGCGGGGUCGCAGCCCUGUAACCCCUGCACGACCAGGUGCCCACCGCCAUGUGUGUUGCUGACCCGGCCAGCAGCGCCCGGAGACCACUGCGGAUCAAUUUUCGCACCGGGGCCCCAUGGGUCAUGUGUACGCCACUGAUGGUACCCUAACUAUCAUGGGGCACUGUGCGGCCACAGCUUACACAGCCCCCUCCAGCCAGGGCCGGUGCAAGGAUCUUUGCUGCCAUAGGCAAAAGUAAAGUUUGCCGCCCCCCCCCAUGUGACAUCACAAUGCCCCACCCAUAUGAUCUGCCAUGUUAACUAACGCCAGUGCUGCAGUGCCGCCGUGUUUACAUUAAAAGGCCUGCAGAGACAGGCUAUAGACACCAGAACCGCUACAUUAAGCUGCAGUGGUUCUGGGGACUAUAGUGUUUCUUUAAUGUGAGGUAAAUUAGAGCUUAGUGCCACUAAUAAUAUACUAGAUUGCCUACUUACAACCAGAUGAGGAUGAUGAUGGGCUCUAGCUGCAGUCUGGCUCCACUGGUCUGGUCUGGAGGCGGUUUGUAGCUGUGGUCACAAAAAUCAAUGUUCUGGGAGAACGGGAAGCAGCUCCAUUUUUUGGGGGCCCUUUACACAGCUCAAGGUCUGGGUCCCAGGGUCCACCUUAAUGUUCCACCAAUGAGUUUGUUCACAGAGGGUGGAGUGUGUAGGGGAUGUCCUGAUAUGUGUGUAAGGAAUGCAUUGUGUGAAUCUGUGUUUGUAUGUGUAAGGGCUGCAAGGUGUGUUUCUGUGUAUGUACGGGAUGCAGUGUGUGCGUCUGUAAGGGAUGCAUUGAGUGUGUGUAAGGGGUGCAUUGAGUGUGUGUAAUGAAUGCAUUGUGCGUUUCUGUGUGUGUAAGGGAUGCAUUGUGUGUAACGGUUGCAUUGCUUGUGUAUGUGUGUCUGUGUGUGUAAUGCAUUGUGUGUUUUUCUGUGUGCAAGUGGUGCAUUGUGUGUGAUGAAUGUCAAUCUCUCCCCCCACCUUCAAUUUCCUUCUCUCCCCCCCUCCAAUUUCCUUCUCUCCCCCCUCCAAUUUAUUUCUUUCCCCCCUCGCAAUUUCUUUCUUGCCCCCUCCCAAUUUCUUUCUUUAUCCCCCCUCCCAAUUUCUUUCUUUAUCCCCCCAAUCUUUCUUUAUCCCCCUCACAAUUUCUUUCUUUAUCCCUUUUCUUUUUUCCCCCAAUCUUUCUUCUUAUCCCUCCCAAAUCUUUCUUUAUCACUAUCCCUCUUUCUCUAUCCCCCUACUUCUUUCUUUAUCUCCCCAAUUUCUUUAAAACCCCUUCUCCCAAUUCUCUUUAUCCCCCACCACUGUUGUAGCGGGUUUGUGCUCUUAUGGUCCGCGGGUAAAGGGAGCUUUUGUUUCCUGUACCCGGCCGGACUAACAGGAAGUGCACACUCAGUGUGUACUUCCUGUUAGUCCGGCCGGGUACAGGAGACAGAUGCUCCCUGUACCCGCGGACCAUACAGAGCUCGGCCACGCUACAGUGAGGGAGUGACAGGAGGGAGCCCUGAGCGCUGAGCAUUUCCCUCCUGUCAGCCCCUCUCCUCAGGCUGCGCCCGAGCAGUGCGGUGUGCACUCAUGGACGCACCAGCCCUGGCAAAGCUGCAGCCACCUGAGGCUCUCUGCAGAGGGCUCGGGCAGCUGCAGCAUAAGGGUCAUGGCACCCCCCACCCUGGUGGCACCCGGGGCGGACAGCCCCCUCCGCCUUCCCCUUAGUACGCCACUGCCUUUUUGUAUAUAAAAAUCACAGAUUUUUUUGUGGAUGGUCCUACUAAUGCAGAGAAUUGCCACCAGUGACAAUCUGGUUAUGAGCUUUGUUUAAUCUCAUCCAGUAGUCACUUGUCUCAUCUCCUGGGGCAUCAUGCAUGCUCGUCAUAUUCUGACAGCUUGGCAAGCACCAUAUACACUAUAGUCUCCUGGGAACUAUCCCAAUGUGCAAGCCCAGACCUGGAGGACAGUGAAAUUGCAGGCCACCAGUUCAUACAGCAACCUUCACAAUGGUGAGCUAGCAAAAGCUCUGCACAAAAUCCUUCCUGCCAUCUCACUCCUGUAGUAUCCAGUCUACAAAAAUGCCAAAGUGCUGUCUAUUUUUUUAUUCAGCAGAAGAAAAAUGUGAAGUCACAUCCCCUAGUCACCCUUGUCAGCCUCCAAUGCCGAGAACAUUAGAAUAAGUUGAAAAUGCUAUAGUGAAAAACAACAAAAGAAAAACCCACAGCUCAGACCUACAAUAUUGAUCUCCUUCAUCACUGCACAGUCAGGAAAGAGCUAACAUUUUUAUAACAUUACUGUGGUUCUUUGUGGACACUGGACAGGGGAACUCUGUGUAAAUCACUGUCUGUUUCAUAGAUGGUUAGGUCAGUGGUGUAUCCUGGUUUUGUGCUGCCCUAGGCAUACACACACUCACAGUAACAGACACACACUCACACUAACAUUUCCACACAAUAACAGACACACAUACACACUAACAGACACACACUCACACUAACAGACACACACACACACACACACUAACAGGCACACACACACACACAGAAACACACUAACAUACACACACACACACUAACAGACACACACGCUAAAAGACACACACACACUAACAGACAUACACACUAACAGACAGACACACACACACUAACAUACACACACACACAGACACACACUAACAGACACACACACACACACACACUAACAGACACACACACACUAACACAUACAGACACACACUCACACUAACAGACAGAUUUACACACUAACAGACACACACAUACACACUAACAGACACACACUCACACUAACAGACACACACAGACACACACACACACUAACAGGCACACAGAGACACACAGACACUACACACACACACAGACACACACUAACAUACACACACACACACACACACACACAGACACACACUAACAGACACACACACACUAACAGACAGACACACUAACAGAGAGACACAGACACACACACUAACAUACACACACACAGACACAGGCACACACUAACAGACACACACACACUAACGGACACACACACACUAACAGACACACACACACACUGACACACACACACAGACACACACACUAACAGACACACACACACUAACAGACAGACCCACUAACACACACUAACAUACACACACUUUUUCUUUUAAAAAUUCACCCCCCCCCCAGCCUCCUUACCUUUGGGAAUGCUGGGGUGGGUUCUCCUUUUCCCUGGGGGUCCAGUGGCUGCUGGGCGGGCGGCGUUGGCGUCAUAUUCCAGCUCCCAGUCUCACUCUGCGGGCGGCGCACAGAGUGAGGCUGGGAGCCGGAAUAUGACGUCAUAUUCCGGCUCCUAGCCUCACUCUGUGGCGUGCGAGGGAGCUCAGCAGGACGCUCAGGGAAAGUGCUCCCUUUCCAGCGCUGCCCAACCGAUCAGCAGCCAGCCUGGAUUGUCAGUUAGCCGCAAUGCUAACAGGACAUUUGCCCUGGGCAUUUGGGGGCGGCUUUUUUUGCUGCCCCCCUGGAAAGUGCCGUACAAGGCAAAUGCCUUGUUUGCCUCACGGCUAAUACGUCCGUGGGUUAGGUUCAAUUCAAAUACAGCCAAGAACCAGGUAAACAGUAACUACAGUUACGCAAUCUUACAAACUACAGAAACACAAGAAACAAACAGCAAGACUAGGCAGGGCUGUGUAUCAGUCAAAAAGAAGAUAUGUGAAUUAGAAGAGUGGAAAUAUUAAUGUAGGCACCAACAUGUCAGGUCAAUAACAAUGUUAGUAGGAAAAUUAUUACUGUUACUAAGAACUCUGGAAGGUACAAAUGUGACAUGGGUCAGCAGGCUGGAUAGUACCACAGUAUUUCAGCCAAAGCUCCCAGUCAUACACACGCAGAUCAACAAGGAAAAUAAUCAACUGUUUCAUCAAGCUUACAAUUUUAUCGACAUGUUGGAAAACUGUCAAGAGCAGUAGAGCGAGAAAAACUCUCCAAAACAUUCCUCUAGGAAGGUGCAGUAGCUAUGGGCAGUCCACACAAUGUUGUCCUGGGAGACAAAUUUGUCAUUCAUUAACCCGUUCACUACCAAGCAGUUUGCAGAGAACUCACCCUGGAAAUCCAAGUAUUAUGGGUGUCCUGGAAAGAAAAUGUUUAAAUGUAUUCUUCUUUUCAGUACGCCUAGAUAGCACAUUCGUUAAUAGAAACAAAAGGAAAAAAUGUGUGUGGAGAACUUUUAGAAAAUCAUUUACCACUUAAUCAGUUUACAAAUAAGAAAACAGAGUUGUAAAUAAAUACAAUUUCUCAAUCUUAAUUCCAUAUAAUCCCCUCAACCAUACAUUGUACAAUAUAAACUCAGUUCUCAGUUCUAUGUGUGCACCGAGGCCUACAAUAACGUUUCAGCAGGUCAGUCAUGGUCUGCCGAAACCGACGAACAGAGUAGGCGUGAAAAUAAAUAAAAGAGAAAUCAAGGAGGAGGGUAGACAGAGGCUGGUAAAAAAAAAAAAAAUCUAUUUUCGGGGUCAAAGGCUGAGGCAUACAAUAGCCACCGCCAUGUGCAGCUAGGCUAUAAUGACUUUUAAAGCCUAGCUGUACAAGACGGUUUUGAGUAGGGAAAGCUCCAUGUUCAUUCAAUAACAACAACCACAAUGUGCAUCUAGGAUUUACAAGUAUUUUUAUUUUUUUGCUUCUAUGUGCUUUCCCUAACCCCUACCACCCCAUGUGCAGCAAUGCUUUAAUUAGUUUUUCCUCCAUGUGUUUUUGCAACACUCCCCCUCACUACCAUGGGUGGGUAGGUUUUAAUUAUAAUUUUAAAGCCGAGCUGCACAUGGUGGUGGUAAUGGGUAAGGAAAGUGCAUGGAAGAAAAUUAAUAAUUUGUUUCUCCCAUGUGCAUUCACUAGCCACCAUCACCAUGUGCAUCUAUGUUUUACAAGUAAUUUUUCAUUGGUGGAAAUAAGUGUGCAUGGGGGAGGAAGUGAUGUGACAGCAUGAGUGUGGGGGAAUCAUAUUGUAUAUAGGGAGGCUAUAUUUCUCUCUUCAGCCUCCCUACACAGUGCUCAUUUUAUUAUAAUUAUUUUUAGCUGAGGCCCCCUCCUGCUUACCUUUUUGCAGUGAGUGGGGCUCUGAUCCCUAUUCCCUUGUGGUCUUGUGGAUCCUUCUUCCUGGGUGAGCCAAUGGAUCCAGUAUCCUGGGUUCGCCUGGCAGGCUGCCCCUCAGAAUGCCCCCUUCCGGUGUCUCAGCCAGAGGGCAUCCUGCACAGUGAGCAGCGCAGCACCAUACAGAGAGAUCUCUAGAUCUCUGUACCAGCCUGUGCAGAAUGGGGGGCUUUGUGGGAGCUCAGGAGAGGUAGCCCUAGAAAGGUAGUGCCAGCUCUGCUAUUGGCACAAUCAUUGCAAAUUAAAAAAAAUGUAAAUUAACAAAUUUAAUUUGCAAUGAAUUUAAUUCUGUAUACACAAAUGCAGGGUAUGGGGUGCAGACCUUGGUGAUCGUGUAUACUCGAGUGGCAACGUGAAGGGGUUAAGAGGAAGAUAACUAUUCCAUGACAUACACACAUAUAUUCCCUCAAUACAAGGUUGAGAGUCAUGUAUUUUUUACUACACUUUGAGGAUACAGCCCUGGCGUCUCUGGCACUGAAGGUGUACCAGUUCAGGAACACUACAGUCCGUGGGUUUUUAUGACCUAACCUGUACCACUAACUGCUCUACUAAAUGCUACGACUCAGUUUUGGAAGCAUAUCCACAGACAAUGCAGAAUAUACUUCACUGGUAUCUGGUUACUAUAAAAUAUUCUAUCUAGAUAGUCCUCUGGCAAUACUCUAUGAGUAACUACUCUGUAGAUGACAAUAAAUAGCAAUAUACCUGUGAGGCCUCAAGGAAGAGACAAACAGGCUUCUUAUUGGUAACUCAAAGAACUCAGACAGUUUAUUGUAGAAAGAACCAGCAUAUACAGUAUAGAGCACCGCAUACAGUAAAACAUUGUACAUCAAUUUAAACCAAUGGGAAUAAAUAGUAUACAGAGGAAAGAACUGGUUACACAGUGAUUCAUUUCACUAGUUCUUUCCCAUUUUGUGCAAGUCCACCAUGACAACAAAAGGUUAUCUUGAUCAGCCAUGUAGAUAUCUGGACACACUGUAAUUCAGAGCAAUCUCUGAUUACAUUAACACAGUCUUUUGCUGUAGUUAAUUGGUAGGAAACCCUUUAAUAGUACUGUGCCAAAACAACAUCUGGUGGGCCGGUUCAAUCAGUUUUUUUUUUUAAAUUAAGGAGUGUAUGUUGCUUUUGUUAUUUAUAGGUUCUCCAGUUGUUUUGUAACAGUGCAUUUGUGCGUAUAUGGGCUGUUAUAUUGGAUAUGUUCCUGAGUAGUUUGUGGUAUUGUGUAUGACACCUAUUAAUGUGUGCUGUUUAUGGGGGCUGCUUGUGGAAUUGUGUGUGGAUGAUAUGUCACAUUGUGUGUUUAGUGGUGUCUGUAUGUGUGGGGCUGCUUGUGGCAUUGCAUGUGAGAGGUUGCUUGUGGGGUUGUCUGCGUGUAUGUGGAUUGUCAGUGGUGUUUGUGAGGACUGUGUGUAUUUGUGUGUGUCCUAUUUAUAUUAUUUGUGUGAGCGGGAGUAUUCUCCUGCAGCUUUGUAUUCUUCUGCAGCUUUUAUAUCUAAGAGUGUGGGUGGCUUCCCUGAGGCCCAGUGUGGACUUAGCUAGCCAGGUUUAGGUCAAGGGAGGGGAACUGUGAUAGCUGCUGUGGGUUCCUCUACUCCAGUGUGGAUUCCCAUUUACAAGUGUGAGGAGAAAGUGAUCUGAGACCACUUCCUCUAAGUGGUGUAAUGCGUAAAUCCAUUCUCCUGACAAAAAAUGAGGUGCUUCUGAAACGGUACUGCGUACUUGCGGCUUGCAGAAAACAAACCAGAGGGAUCAGGCCAUCCAUCAAAUACACGGUUAAAAAAAAGUAACCUUAUUGAAUUUAGUUCCACAGAAGGUGUAAUUCCAAAGAUUGCUUCCUGCCAUUUCAAUCACAGGAUCUCCCCUGCCGGCCCAUGCAGGGUAGCACAGCCAUAAGAGGGCUGAAGGAAAGAUUUGUGCAUUUGUGCGUGCCUGGCAUCCUGCCUGUCUCCCUCUCGCAAGCUCCCAUAAUAUCAGAACCUUGCCAUGGUAACCCAGGGCAACGCUCGGUAAUACCGACGCUAACGAGAUGGAGAAGCAUGGUCUGACGGUACAGACCAAGUAACCGGACCACCGUCCUCAGCAUGCCUCCCUGUACCCCGGCAAGGUAAUAUAUUUUAAUGAUUCAAUUAAUCAAGCAGCCAUCUUAUCCCCUAUUAACCCAGUACACCCCCUGCCAUCAUGCCCCCUAUCAACCCAUCAAGCCACUACACCCCCUGCCACUUUGCCCCCUAUUAACCCACUACACCCACUGCCACCCCCUAUUAACCCACUACACCCCCUGCCAUCUUUCCCCCAAUCAACCCACUACAUCCCCUGCUAUUUUGCCCCCUACUAACCCACUACAUCCCAUGCCAUUAUUCCCCCACUGCAUCCACUGCCAUCUUGCUCCCUAUUAACCAGCUACACCCCCUGCCAUCUUAACAACUAUUAGCCCUCUACAUCUCUUACCCAUAACGCCAUAUUAACCCACUACAACUCCUCCCCAUAACCCCUGCACCCCCUGCCAUCUUGCCCCCUAUUAACGCACUACACCACCUGCCAUCUAUUAACCCACUACACCCCCUGCCAUCAUUCUCCUAUUAACCCACUACACCCCCUGCCAUCUUAACACCUAUUAACCCUCUACAUCUCCUACCCAUAACCCCAUAUUAACCCACUACACCUCCUCCCCAUAACCCCCUAUGCCCCUGCCAUCUUGCCCCUUAUUAACGCACUACACCCCCUGCCAUCAUACCCCUAAUUGACACACUGCACUCCAUGCACUUACAUACAACACACUCUCUAUACCCCUUAUAUACACCCCCUGGACUCAGACACACACACUCUCUAUAACCCUUAUACAACACCACUCAUCCUUCACUCACAUUCACACAGUACACAAACUCUAUACACCCUAAACAUACACUACACUCUCUGCACUCAUACACUCUAUACUCCCUAUAAACACACACUACACACCCUGCACUCACCCACUUCCUACUCUAUAUUCCUUAUACACACCACACCCCCAUGCAUUCACACACACACACACUCUAUACACACACUACUCUAUAUACGCAUACACACACAAUUAACACACCCCUUUUUGGCCCCGCCCCUCGCAAUAGGCUGCUCUGCCAUUAACUACCUGGGCUCAAUUUUUGUCCCAGUCUGGCCCUGCACAGAACCAUAAGCACAUAAACACACACCGCACCUCCCACGUGUCACUAUUUUGAGCCCAAAUCCUUCUGUCCCUUUUUUAUCCUAAUGUCCCUUUUUGGUAGGAGCACAUUGUUGUGUCUGAUUGUAUAAGAGAGCUCCACAGCAGACUACAAUAAAUGUGUUUAGAAAUCAGUCUGUGUAAAUAAGAUACACUGUUCUUGUUCUAAAUAAAUUAUAUUAUAGUUACAAAAAUCGUUAUUAAUAAGUUACUAAGAAUUUCUCAGAACAGCUCUGGCCACAUCCACAAUCGCACCCUUAAAAUAAUACUGUCCCUCUUUGUACAUUCAAAAUUUUGAGAGGCAUGCAAUAACACUUGGUUAUUUGUUAGUAUAACACCAGGACAUACAUGUCCAGACUUGCCCAGGACUACUGAUAGUGAUAUGACUUGGCAGCCAGUGGAGAGAUGCUACAAAGAGAGAGACACAGCUUCAUUCAUUCUUUGCCCCUCAUACAAUACAUGAAAAACAGAAGGGGAACAACACCAAUCGUGGCAUCCAAAAAUAGCAUCUGCCCCUGCCAUUCAUCCUUUCCCUAGAACCACUUGCUGCCAAAAUUAGAGCCCAUCCAGAUAUACAUGGCAUAGAAGUGGAUGAUACCCGAUAUUGUCUAUCGAUGUUUGAAGAUUACAUUCUUCUCUCUUUAGACAAGCCAACAGUAUCAGUACCAGCGGUACUACAUCUGUUCCAAGAAUAUGGCUCACUUUCCUACUACAAAUUAAAUCAGUCAAAGAUCCAAGCUCUGUCGAUUGGUCUGAAUGCUACAGUCAUUAGCCAUCUCACCCAUUCAUACGAAUUUGAUUGGAGAAAGUCUAGCAUAAUGUAGUUAAGCGUCAAAUUAGUCCUCUCACUUGAAACCAUAUAUAACUUGAAUUACAAAACAGGAUUUCGAGGAUUUCAAGGAUUUCUCGAAAAAGAGGUCGGUCAGGCUUUCCUGGCUGGGCAGGGUUAACACCACCAAAAUGGUAAUAUUGCCUAAAAUCUUGUCCGAAUGUUGCCUAUCUGCAUGCCUCCUUCCUUGUGCAGACAAUUGCAGAACAUUAUCAACAAAUUUAUCUCGGACUGCCAUAAAUCUCGGAUCCCGAUGUCCCUCCUUCAGAAAUACCCCACCUUCAAAACUACUACAAAGCGUCAAUUCUGGAGGCAGCAGUCAAGAUGCACAACCCCAAAAAUACUCUUCAAUGGGUAGACAUGGAGAGAAGAAGGGCAGCGGAGGGAGCGCUGGGGGACCUGUCAUGGACCCCACUAACAGCUCUUCCCCUGUACAUUACUGUCUUUGCAUUAUAAUCAUAAUAGAGAUGUGGAACUGCACUCAAACCCAUGGAAUAUGUAUCCGGGUGCAACCAGGCCAGUCCCAGUACCAGGGAUCAAAUAAUUGAUAAAGAAACAUAGAAAAAAGGUCCAGGCACUCCAGGAUACAAAACGGCAAAUUUAUUGAACCCACUGCCACUCAGAACAUUUCGACCUACAUGAUCUUUGUCAAGCUGUCUUUGCAUUAUAGGGAUCAACUCCGCAAAAAGCAAGGAGAUUACCACAACUGUCACAUGCGACCUCCAGUGACGGCGCUUAAAGUUCUUUCACCCUGGUUACCUCUGCAGUCUUGGUGCCAACUAGGGGUGAAAUGCAUUGGGAAACUGUGCAAGGGUGGAGCCAUUAGGGCUUUCCCAGAACUCCAGGAAGCUUACAAACUACCGAACUCAUUUAUCUUUCACUACUUACAAAUGAAAAGCAUCAUCUCUGCACAUGUGCAGCCUGGAGCAAUCACCCCUAUGGGACACAGUGAGGGACCUGAUCACUGAUGAGCUGGUGACCAUGAUAACCCGCUUGCUCCUUCUCUUUCCACACCGUUUACACAAAAAUCUCAAACAGCUGACAGCACUCAUUAUGCUAGCUGCCAGAAACUUUAGAUAGCGGUCAACUGGAAAACACCAACAUGCCCUUCAAACCUUUAACUCCUACAAAAAAAUACAGCUUUAUUAUGUAUAUGGACGAAUGUCGCUAAACUACCCUGUGCAAUUUAAACCUUUUUAUACGCCGCAAUGAGGGGGCGUCCCCUCGCAGGGUUACAGGGAACCAGUAAUGAGGGUUUGGUGAGAUUCAAACACAUAGGAGCAUAAACAAGGGACAUAACUGCAUACUCAGGCAAAAAAAAAAAAAACCCUCUUAAUAAAUUGACCACAGACUAACUUUAGUGGAUGGACAUACAUAAAAUUGUGGUUGAGUCUAGUUCUUCCCCUCCCGAUUUCUUUACUGUACCUCCUUCCCUUUUCUCUUUUACUUGUUCCUCAUUGCAGGAUGCAUGCUUUGGUCACUUCAUACAAAAUUACAGUAUAUCUCAGUUUGGUAAUACGUGUCCCUCCUUCCAAUAUAGUGAUUGUUUGUGUAUUCCUCAGUAACUGCUCAAAUUAUAAAAUUGUCCGCUAUCACUCAUUGUACCUUUACGCACAAGGUUCUUACACUUAUCGAUUGUAUUAAAGUAUGCAUACCUGUGAUACUGUUCAUUCUAUUUGAAAAUCAAUAAAAACUUUAUGACAAAAAAAUAGCGUCUGCUGACCAGGGCUGACCAAGACUCAUAUGUUCUAGUCAGCUGAAGAUUAGUGCCCCUGCCACCAUUUUAUGGACAGCAGCUGAAUUAAUAGUAAUUCCCACUAUUAUCAGCCAGCACCGGGGUAUUGUGGAAAAUGGAUGGUAGAUUAUUAAUAUGAGAGACGAAUAAAAGAGCUUAGCAAAAACAUUAGACAUGUGCAAUUCAUUUCGGUCCGAAUAUGAAUUCGGACGAAUUUCGGGCAAUUCAGACAUUCGGGUACCUCCGAAUGUCCGAAUUGCAGAAUUGCCGAGGUCCCGAAGUUCCAAAAUUACCGAAUUUCCGAAGUGCCGAAUUUCCAAAGUGCCGAAGUUCCGAAGUUGCCGAAGUUCCGAAGUGUGAAAGUGCCGAAGUUCCGAAGCACAGUAUUGCCUAAGUACUAAUAUACUUACCCAGUGGAAGAAGAAGAAUGUUACACUGUAUACAAUUUUAAAUAAAAAGUAUACAAACAUAGCCAGGAUUCAGCUGUAAGCAUUUGCAACACUUACAACAAUCAAGUAACAUACAUUCAUAUAAAAUGUAAAUGUACUUAGCCAGUCAGUGUAAUGACAGGAAUGAAUAAAUAGAUAACUCUCUAAUUCCCACGGUAUUAGGGAGCUAUCUACUAAAAGGCUGAAAGACCUGAAUUGGUCUUGCAGCCACAUUUACUAAUACUAAGUAAAGAUUACUUAGUAUUAGUAAAUUAUGCCCCUACUCGCUAUACCGCGAGUAGGGGCACGUCUAUUAAACAGUGAGCAGCCUGUGGCCCCACCCCUAAGCAGUGGGUGGGGGCCCUAAAUACUAAUAGGGGGGACCUAACGUCCUCCCUCCUGGCCCCCACCCCUGAGCGGUGGAUGGGGGCCCUAAAUACUAAUAAGGGGGGGACCUAAUGUCCUCCCCCUGGCCCCCACCCCUGAGCGGCGGGGGAGGGAGCCCUAAAUUGGAAUAAGGGGGGGUGACCUAAUGUCCUCCCCCCUGGCCCCCACCCCUGAGUGGUGGGUGGGGGCCCUAAAUACUAAUAAGGGGGGAGCCUAAUGUCCUCUCCCCUGGCCCCCACCCCUGAGCGGCGGGUGGGGGCCCUAAAUACCAAUAGUGGGGGGGGACCUAUUGUCCUCCCCCCAGGCCCUCACCCCUGAGCGGCGGGUGGGGGCCCUAAAAAUUUUUUUUACCCCCCCCCCAGGUGACUAGAGGUCCCCACUAUAGGGACAGGAAUACAUGUUUGUGUUCCUGACCCUAUAGUUAUCCUUUAAAUUGUGCUGACAAGUAUGGUCUUGUGACUGGAUUCAUCUGUGGAUAUGAAACCAAACUUACUCAGAUAAGACCAGGUCAAACUCCCUGUUCUUUCCUCAUCUCCGUUUUCAGGGGAUUAAAAAGGGAUUGAAUAGGUAACCUAGUUAGAUCAGGUUGGAGUUUUUCGCAACCCUUGGUAAGCCACACUAACAAUUCCACCAUUGUUUUUAACCCUGACAGCAAAUGGCACUUAAUACAAACUUUUGGACUCAUUCCAUCACCAAAUCCUGUAACCCUUCCAUUCCCGAUAAGUAACGCAACACCAUGUUAAGUGGGUAAGGGCAACGGCACCGGCUUUAUUUAAACCAGCACAACCAAAUAUUGUCAGCUGCUGGUUUUACCCAGCAGACAGGUACACUUUAAACUUCCAGAACUUCUUCAGCCUGUCCUUCGUCAUCAACCAAAUUCAAGCUGCGACUCCCCAGGCCUGUCCGAGCAUUAUUCAUUUACCAGGCUUGCUGGCGCAGGAAAGCCCCAGCUGUGACAAAAUUAAAAACAGAGAAAACACAACACAAAACAACAAUUCCAGAAUAGAACCAUUGGGGAGGGAGGGUGGGUGGGAAAAGACACUGCCAGGCUCUCUCAGCAUUGUUCACCAGUAGUCUGGUAAUUUUUCCCAGAAUUCCAUGCUUUCAACUGUAAAACCAACUGUAUCCUUUUGGUUGCUAUGCCAACCCCUCAGGGCAGCAGUCAUGCUCCCCCCCUCCCUAUUCGCUCAAAGGGUUGGCCUUUCUACAGCUGGAUGGGAGUCCGGGGUGGGGAUAUUCUAAGUACACUUAAAUGGAUACUGUAUUUUUUUAUUACUGGUAUUUAAAAGGCGCCAACAGAUUCCGCAGCGCUGUACAAUUAAUGGGGGACUUACAAUAUACACAGACAAAUUCAAAAGGUAGAGAGGACCCUGCCCAUAAGCUGAUUUUGAGCCAAAUAAGCUCUUUUAUACAAAGUGCUUAGCUAGAUAGCCUGUGAGCUUACUGUAGGCACUAUAACAAUUUCAUCUCUAUAACCAUUUCAGCUGAUUUAAUUUGUUAUGGUGCCUGGCCACCCACACCACAGCCCACCUUUGGAGGUAUGACUAAGGCAGAGAUUACACACUUUCUGAUAGUCAUACCAGUUUAUACCAGUACUGGGCGCUGUCAUAGGCUGACAGUCUCAGCCAAUCACUGGUACCAAUUUAUGUUCACUAGCCCAAGCAGCACAGAGAGGAUAGGCUGCUGGGCACUCUCUUGUAGCAUUAAAACUUUAACGUUGAAUGAAAGAAUGUCAACAGGGGACUGCAGACACUAUAACCACUUCAAUUAAAUGUAGCAACUACAGUGGCUGCAGUAUUCCUUUAAGGGACUGAUCCUUUGAAGGUGACGUUGAAGCUGGCAAUCUCCUGCUCUACACAGAUAAUUGGUAUAAUCUGACUUAUAAGCAUAAUGUCCCCAAAUAGAGGUUGUUUUUACAUUCUGGUGGCAUUUUUAGGAAGCUGGAUUUCAAAAAAUACCAUCACAUUUCUUACAAAUAUCCACAAGCAGGGUUUUAAACCGUUUUCAUUAGGAUACUUUUGGCUUGCCUACCAUAUGUGACAAAAAUUAUAUUUCUGCGUCUAUCCAAAUAUUUAAAUUCGUGUUUGAAAUAUUAGAAAGUGAGGCAUACCACAGACUCUAAAAAAAAAAUUCCCCUCCAUUUUACUGUACAGAAUUAACAAAUAAAAAAAAAAAUGCAUUUACAUUUCAUUUUUUAAGGUAUAAAUUAACAGCACUCUACCCACAAAAUUACUGUUUUUCUUAUGUGUAAGUGAUGGGUCCGUAACUCAAAUAAAUGGUAUGAUAUAUAUAUAUUUAUUUAUUUAUUUAUUUAUUUUUUAAAGAAAAAAAAAUUAUACCGGAGGGGUAAACCAUUGGUAGAAUUUUACAAAAUUGUUGCUAACAAGAUCUUAUUGUCAUGUAGUUUGAUUUAUUUUAACAGCUGUUUAAUUAACUAAAAUAACAGUCCUUAUUUUUACCUACUCUCGAUGCUUGUUUGGUUUCCAUUAUUGUCUCUGAUGGGGGAGCAGAAAGUCUUGCAAGGUUGGCGUAUUUUGUAUUUGUUAAAAGCAUAUCUACUUUAAUUAGUAUUAUCAUGAUUUUCCAAUUAAAAUGUUGGUAAAUGUUACCAAAGGUUAAUUUUGGCUAAUUUAGCUAAUAAUUAUAUAAUAUUCACUCACAAUUAAAAGUAUAGCCUAGCUGGCAAAAUUCCAUACAAAAAUAGCACAAUCGACUUCAAACAAAUAUUAAAACCUAUAUAUUUAUUUUAAUGUAAAUGUUUGAUGGGUAAUUCAUUUUUAUCCCUGUGCCGAAGAAGAAUAAAUUGGACAGGGUUUACUAUUGCAUUGGCACUGUUUCAAGAUCAAGCUCUUGGUUAUGACCAGGUCAUGAAAUGAAAAGUGAAGCUCAAAUAUAAUAGUUAACACAAAUCCUAACUCUAACUUUAACACUAGUCUUUAUAUUAAAUGUUUACACUGGUUUGUUUGCAGCAUUUUUUGCUAAUUUUUUUGAUUAGCUAUCGUAGAGGGUCAGGUGGAAAGGUGAAGCUCUCAUAUCCACUUUGUGCUAGGGCACAAAGCAGUGGAGAAGAGCUGCCCUAAUGACAGCCAGGAGGGUGCAACCCAGAGGCUCUAAAAAAAUAUUGAUUCUUUUUUUAUUUUAUAUAUAUAUAUUUUAUAAAUUGAGAAAGAGGGGACAAGAGGUACUUUAGGGGUGGACUCUUUAAUAAUGGAUCCUUAAUAAAAAUAAAAACUAACCAUAUAUAUUGUUUAUCCAUCUAGGCGUAUACUUGACUUCUCAGCAUAGUGACAUUAUGACAUUGUGCAGGACCACUGCUUAGCAGUAAGAUGGAGAUUAGUUAAAUCCAUACCCACACAGUGAGCUGUGUCACAAUACCAGUGCCUAGCGGCACUGUACUACCACGUAAGUGAUGUCUCUUUUGUUCUCUGAUACACAACCACUCAUCCUUAACUUCCUGGUGCCUCAUUAUGACAUCAUAUAUAAAAUGAAAACCUCCCAUUGGUCUCUUUUUAUUAUGUUAGAGUUUGUUGCCUUUGUUAAUGAUGUGUACACACUUGUGACAUCAUGGCUCUCUGUAACCAAUCACAACCCAGUACAGGGUAUAUAUACUUCCUGGUUGUCCUUGUUUCCUUGCCAUGUCAGGGUUUCUGUUUACCCGAGAGUGCGUUAAAUAUGACUUAUUAUUCCAUUUUCUGACUUUGGCUUUUGACCAUUUUUGAUACCAGUAAGCCUGACCUUGGCUUGAGUCUUGUUUCUGUGUACCUCUGUAAUCCCUGACAAUGGCUUGUUAACAUUUAUUCUGUGUUUGCUUGCAGACUUUCUGAUUAUAAUCACAGUGCUAGUUGGGUCUCUCUAAGUACCAGAAUGCUUACCUUCCUUGCAUAUAACUAGGUUUGUGUGUUAGGGUCAGGCUAAUACUGACAGGGUGAUUCUGAGUUAGAUUACUAACAUCUAGCUGUGAGACAGACCCCUAGACAAAGAACUGGAGCGUCUUGUCAUGCCACCUUUAUAAUAUGAUAGUCAUUUAGCACUGAGACAAAAUGCAACUCAAUACAUUAAAUUAACCAUUUUAUUUACACAUCCAUAUAAAAUUUAGGUUAAUGUUCCCAAGUUAUAGAAAUAUUUUUUUUUUCCAACUCUCCUCUUGACCUAAAUUUUGCAUAUAGGUAAUUUCAGGAAAUAAAACAUAGUAUACAUUUUGUGUUUUCGUUCAUCCUGGAGUUACAAUAUUACAAGAUUUUCCACCAGGGGACACUAUACAUCUCCUUUAUGACAGAAGAAGGUGUUCCGUGUGUGUGUAGAAGGUGGGGGUAGGAGUAUCGUUUAACCUCUGUGAGCAAUGACUCAUCCGGAAGCUUCUCUGCUUUUCCCAAUUUGAGAAUGACAUACUCCUUCCAUUCCCGGGUGAAUCAAUAGUGAUGCAAUUAACCCUUCCCCCAUUGCGUUUGUCUGUCUCACUGCUCAGUAUAUAAUCUUGUAUAUAUAGUCACGCAAUGCGGAGCCUAGAAUUCUGCUGUAAAAAAUGUUGCAAGAUGUAAUUACUAUGGUACAGCUGGAAACAUGAAUUUAUUAUUCCCAAACAUUCUUGUAUACCGUGUAGUCAAUAAUUGGAAGAUAGUCAAUAAUUGAAAAGAGGUGUCAUAAUUUUUUAUCUCAAUGGGUUAAGUCUGAGCAGAUUUCAUGCUCUGUCUUAAAUAUUACACAAGGUUUGCAGAACUCUAGUGGUUUUGAUGCAGAGAUACUAUCCCUUUUCCCGUACAUUGCAAAAUAUUGCAGUUCCUGAGAAACAACAAUGUUUACAUUUAGCUGAGAACAGACCUCUUGUGGCUGUCAGACAGUCGUCACGAGAAUUGCUUUCCCCUUACAUCCUUUAAAUUGUGAACUAAUUCAUAUUUGGUAUCUUAAUGUAUGAUGACGCUGAAAGCGGCUAAUGCUUCCUGUACUCAAGUAUUGGUUUGAAAAAUACAACAUGAAUAUGAGGUCAAAACAAAACAUCAAAUGGACUUUAACAGUUACUACAAGCACAAUGACUACUGCAGUGUUUUUCUAAAGUGGUCAUGGUAUUUUGAGUCUGGUUGUACACAGUAAGAAGUGUGAAAGCAAGCGUUCCAGGCUACUAAUGUGAAUUUUGUGAAUAGAAUGUGUUAAUUGUCAGCAUGCAAAUUAAUGGAUGUCCAAUGGCUUUACCCCCCUACUUAUUGCCCUUAGUCCUAUCUCACCCCUGCCUCCUUGACAUCCAGCAUGCUUUCGUGAGAGGUUAUGAUGCCACAGAAGGAAGACCAGGCCACAUUGAGAACUUGGAUACCCCAUGGGAUCGCAGGUGAAUUCACUCUCUCUCCUCUCUCUCUUUAUCCUGUAUCUGGGUGCCUCCAUCUUAGCUCCCUGUCAAUCAUUAUUACAAGCUCUGUCCUUUGCAUCUGGCAGUCAGCAAAGAUAAAACAUAAAAAAGAGAAUACAAGGGAAUAUUUUGCUCUUUUUUUUCUUCAUUUGCAAAUUUUGCCCUGCAGCUGUCUUGUCCGAACUGGAUUAUAAUAUAAUUUUCUGAAUCUGUAUUAUAAAUGUCAAAGAAAAUGGAGCAUCCCAUGAAAGACAAUGUGAUCACAAGCUAAUGGCUAUUUUCAAUGUUUUAUGCAAGAGUGUAAGUUUCAGAGAAGUGGAAGUUCCUGUUUAACACUUUAGGACCUUUCAAAGAGUGGAUACAACUGAAUAUUAUUCUUAAAAGAGGGAGAUUGUAAAUGUGUGCAUAUGUGUAAGCGUGUUAAUAUACGUGAUCACUAAUGGCGAGAUUUAGGUCAAGCCAUGUUUAUAGUGAAGAUAUCACACAAGUCGUAUGACAUUGAUACAUAAUUUAGAAGACAGUGAACGCUUGCUUUCUGUCUUGCGUGACUUAACAAACGAUUCUUGAGCACACAGGAAUAUAUACUGCAUGUGUGUGCGAGGGAGAGAGAGUUGUGUCAUAUUGGAAAUGAAUUCCUUUGACAAGUUCUGCAUCAUAAACUCUGGGAACAAAGCUCUGAGUGGUUUUGGAUGAGUCCAGAGCCCCAGAAUCCCAAGAUGAAAGGAAUCUCUCAUGCAAACCCACAUUCCCACACACACUAUCACCCAGUGUUACAUGCACACAUUAAAACUUCAGAAAAUCAACACAAAUCGACAUACACUCAGUGUUAUUCACUAACUUGUACCAAAAUGUAGCAGAUUAAGUCCUUGAUUUAAACGUUUUCCUAAAUGAUUCAGUACUGUUAGAGAAACUUUCCAAAUGACUUAUCUACAGAAAUCCCCAUGGAAUUUAAUGGUGACUUCUGGAGAUAAAUUAUUUAGAAUGUUUUUUUUCUAACAAUACUGAGUCAUUUGGGAAGCUUAUUCAAAAUUGUAUUAUCUAAAUGUGACCUGCAAAACUGUGACUGAUUUGGAAAACAAGGAAAAAGACAAUGAGUUGGAAAAAUGACUUGGCUAUUAGCCUCAGUUUUGUGAUUCUGAUUUUAGGGACUAAAUUUAAUAAGCUUUCCAAAUUGUUAAUUACUGUUAGCAAAAACUUUACAAAUGAUUUAUCUACAGACGUCCCCAUUAAAGGACCACUAUAGGCACCCAGACCACUUCAGCGUAAUGAAGUGGUCUGGGUGCAGGUCCACCUAGGAUUAACCCUUUCUGCUGUAAACAUAGCAGUUUCAGAGAAACGGCUAUGUUUAUAAUGGGGUUAAUCCAGCCUCUAGUGGCUGUCUCAUUGACAGCCGCUAGAGGCGCUUCCGCACUUCUCACUGUGAUUGAUAAUGCUUUCCUAUGGACUGGCUGAAUGCGCACGGCUCGUGCCGCGCAUGCGCAUUCAGCCGAGGAGGAGGAGAGUCCCCCGCCCGGCGCUGGAGAAAGAGGUAAGUUUAACCCCUUCCAUCCUCUGGAGCCCGGUGGGAGGGGGCCCUGAGGGUGGGGGCACCCUCAGGGCACUAUAGUGCCAGGAAAACUAGUAUGUUUUCCUGGCACUAUAGUGGUCCUUUAAAGGGACACUAUAGUGUCAGGAAUGCAAAUAUGUAUUCCUAACACUGUAGUCUUAAACUGACUUUUUAACUAUCCAGACCCCCUCAGCUCACGUUAAAAGGUUUUAAACUUACCUUUCUACCCAUGUCGUGCUAGUCUUGCCCCUCAUCGUCCGUCCUCCUUGCCUGAGAUCAUAAAUUGGAUGAUCUCAGCCAAAUCAAAUCCUUUUUCCCAAUUAAUCUUUAUGGGAGACCAUAGAUGCCAGUGCUGCACACUGUUUAACACUGAGAUAGGAAGCACAUCCAGUGGCCUUUUGAGUGACUGCUUGGUGUUACCUCUAGUGGCCGUUUGGUGUUACCAGGCAGCAAUGUAAACACUACAUUUUCUCUUAAAAGGCAGUGCUUACAUUGAAAAGCCUGUGGGGACUGACUAUACACAACAGUGGUUCCGGUGACCAUAGUGUCCCUUUAAAGUAAAGGGAAUUUUUGUAGAUAGAUCAUUUGUAACGUUUUUCAAACAGAAUUGAUCAUAUGGAAAGCUUAUUAAAUCUAGGCCUAAAUCUGCUUAAAUUUAUAGUUUAAUUUAGUGAUUGUCUCAGGGCAUACACACUCUCGAACAUUAGAAGAAAAAGGCACACACAUUGGCACAUAAGAAGAUACAACUUGUGGGAUGUAUGUAUGAUCACUGACAAAAAACAGCUGGCUGCCUUAAUUCAGAGUGUUAGCCUGAUAUUAACACAGGCACGAAAAAAAAAGGGUAGGGGAGAGGAGAUCCAUAGAUGAUCCUAAACCCCUUCAUUCAGGGUAUUAUGUCUGCAUUUAAAAAAUGACCUAGUAAUAUAACUCAUAAUACAAUAUUUUAUAGUGAAUACAUAUAGGCUUUAAAACUAGUGUAAUCAAAUUUAAUCUUCUCAAUUUAUAAAAGUUUAUUACAUUACAUUAAAUGUUAUGAUAUCUUUUAAAUUAUAAAUAGUUAUUUUUUUGAGAACAUUUCACUUUUUUUAUUUGGCUGAGCAGCCAUCUUGGGUCAGACACUGGAAUUAUCUGAUCAACUGCUAAUCAGCCUAAAAUGUCUGCAGCUGUGAUUGCUGCAUGUGAAACCUCAACAGCAGGAAAGUUGAAAUUAGUUGGUCAGAUAACAGUAAAGUUUGACCCAGUAGUUAAUUAAUAACUAGAGUUUCCCGUCCAUAUAUUUUGUGCGAUGUUACUUUAUUGUUUUACAUUGUAACUUCCCUCUUUCUGGCACUACUAACAACUCUUUUUAUAUUAUUUCAUCACUUUCACGCUUUCUUUUGCAAUCACUUAUUCACAUAUAGGCACCCUUUUCAGUCUCUUACUGUGUCACUGCGCACACAUUUUAGUUUGUCACACCCUUUUGCUUACACCUCUUUAUUCUCACCCCUGUUAUUUAUACUCCAUCACCACAUAACUCGUACAUAGUUAUUCCCUGUCAAUAUUAUUCAGCAGUCCUCUCAUGGUGAAUUCUGGCAUUGGCGCAGAAGUCAGCUUAUUGGCUGGCAGGAACUGGUCUGUAGGGACAGACCUUGCAAUACAUAAUUACCAAAAGCAGAAGUGUCAAACAUGCAGCCCAUAGACUGAAUUGGGCUUUUCAAAGGGACACUAUGGGCACCCAGACGACUUCAUCUCAUUGAAGUGGUCUGGGUGCAGUGACCCAAUUUCUUUAACCCUGCAAGUGAAAAUAUUGCACGUUAAAGACAACCUCUAGUGUCUGUCUUCCAGACAGCCACUAGAGGCGCUUAUUUAAUUCUUAUGGAGUUUAACUCUGUGAAACAAUGAGGACGUCCACCAUCUUCAAAAUCCCCAUAUGAAAACAUUGAUUCCAUGCUUUCAUAUGGGAAAGAACUAAUGUGUGGACGAUGCUCGUUAUGCAUGCGCAGUAGGUCCACCAUCAAUGUGACAUAAAGAGGAGACAGGGCAAAGGGCAAGGGACCUCAGCACUGAAAUUAGGGUGAAUUAACCCUUUACACACUCAGGGGGUCACCUAAUAAGUUAAAGACGUGAACUUACUAUACCGUUAGGAGUACAGUUUUGUAUUCCAAUGCUAUAGUAUUCCUAUAAGGUUACAUUUCUGUUUCUAAAGGGGAACAUGGAUGUCAAACUCGCGGCCCGGCAAAGAUAUUCAUUGCUUCGGUCACCUGGAGGCAGCAGAGAUGAAAUAAAACAGGCGGAGAUGAAUUGAAGCAGGCGGAGGUGGUCCAGAGGCUGACAGGCGGUCCAGAAGCAAAUGGAGGCAGACGGAGGCGGUCCAGGAGAGAAUGGAGGCAGGCAGAGGUGAUUCAGGCGAGAAUAGAAGUAGGCAGAAGCAGUCCAAGAGAUAAUGGAGGCGGGCGGAAGCGAUCGAGGAGAGAAUGGAGCCGUGCGGAGGUGCACAGAUGUGCGCAACGUCAUGUCCUGAUGUGAUGUCUACAGGCUGCGCCUUCAAGGAGUUUGGCUGUGUCACAUGCUGCGAAUGGCGCUAGUGGGGAUAUAGACGCACAACACCAGAUACACAAGGUGAGUAAAGUAUGAGUCUGGAUGCUAAUAUUGUUUAUUUUUUUUAUUUGUUUUUUUAUUUUAACCCCUUAAGGACACAGCUUCAGAAGCUUGACUUACGCUUAAUGACACAAGCAAUUUUUGCAUUUUCUUGCUGUUUGCGUUCAACUGCAAUUUGCAUCUCUCUCAUUUAUUGCACCGACACAUAUUAUAUACUGUUUUUUAAAGGACAGAAAGGGCUUUAAUUUGAUAUAACAUAUAUAUAUAUAAAUGCUUACUUAUUAUAAAAAAAAUACAGAAAAAUGCAAAAAAAAUGAAAAAUAUUGUUUUUUUUUACAGUUUUUGCAAUAAUAAUGUGUGCAUAAUUAGUGCAGGUUAAGGAAAGUAAUUAAAAAUAAAUUUAUUUAUUUGUUCUGAUUUACAGAAUAUAUAAUGUGUCUGGGAUUUUAAGUUUUUUUUGGUAGUUACAGGUCACAAAGCACAAGGAGUAAAAUAAACUUUUAAUGUGGAGCGAUUUUAGAAUUUGGUAUGUUUGUCUUGUAAGCUUAAUAGCCAUAAAAGAAAACAAAAUUGCCACACAAAAGUAUAUAUUUAUAUAAAGUAGACAUCACGGGCUAUUUACCUAAGGUUGUUUUGACACUUUCUACGUAGCCAUUUCACCGCCAACCUCUGCUAAAUAUUGGAGUAAAAUUGUGUUCUUUUUGGUUUUUAGCACACAAACUUAUAACAGAGAAAUUCUCGUGUAUAUUUUGUAAAGUUGGUGUGUGCUAUUCCUGUACAAAGUUUUAUUUUGUGUUCAGUUACAUCUGCUGAGUAAAAUGACACCCCCAUUGUAUGUCUUUUGCACUAUUUCGUGAAGUUACAGUGCCAUACAGGAUACCUGUCCUUUUCAGUAUUCACAGUAGAAUUUUGAGAGAUGGAUUUAAUGAGCCUUAGCUUCCAUUUUGGGGUAUUAUAACAGUUUGACUGUUCAAAAAACCCCCACAAAGGCCUACCAUUUGUAAAAGUAGACACUCCAGGGUAUCUUAUAAGGUGCAUAUUGUGCCUUAACAUGCCCCCAUUUUUUCACCAAUAUAUGCCAAAGUAUGUGGUAAAAAAUAAUUUUGUGCAUUUUUUACAUACGGAUUGCAUUUUUGCUGGGCGUUUUGUAUAUUUCAUAUGUGCCACUAAGUUCAAACCCCCCAAAUUAUGCUCAGCUAAGUCUUCUGAGUAAAAUGACACCCCAUAUGAAUGUCUUUGGCACUAUUUCGUGAAGCUACAGUGCCAUAUAGGAGACCUGUCCUUUACAGUAUUCACAGUAGAAUUUUGAGAGAUGGAUUUAAUGAGCCUUAGCUUCCAUUUGGGGUAUUAUAACAGUUUGACUGUUCAAAAAACCCCACAAAGGCCUACCAUUUGUAAAAGUAGACACUCCAGGGUAUCUCAUAAGGUGCAUAUUGUGCCUUAACAUGCCCCCAUUUUUUCACCAAUAUAUGCCAAAGUAUGUGGUAAAAAAUAAUUUUGUGCAUUUUUUACAUACGGAUUGCAUUUUUGCUGGGCGUUUUGUAUAUUUCAUAUGUGCCACUAAGUUCAAAACCCCCAAAUUAUGCUCAGCUAAGUCUUCUGAGUAAAAUGACACCCCAUAUGAAUGUCUUUGGCACUAUUUCGUGAAGCUACAGUGCCAUAUAGGAGACCUGUCCUUUACAGUAUUCACAGUAGAAUUUUGAGAGAUGGAUUUAAUGAGCCUUAGCUUCCAUUUGGGGUAUUAUAACAGUUUGACUGUUCAAAAAACCCCCACAAAGGCCUACCAUUUGUAAAAGUAGACACUCCAGGGUAUCUCAUAAGGUGCAUAUUGUGCCUUAACAUGCCCCCAUUUUUUCACCAAUAUAUGCCAAAGUAUGUGGUAAAAAAUAAUUUUGUGCAUUUUUUACAUAUGGAUUGCAUUUUUGCUGGGCGUUUUGUAUAUUUCAUAUGUGCCACUAAGUUCAAACCCCCCAAAUUAUGCUCAGCUAAGUCUUCUGAGUAAAAUGACACCCCAUAUGAAUGUCUUUGGCACUAUUUCGUGAAGCUACAGUGCCAUAUAGGAGACCUGUCCUUUACAGUAUUCACAGUAGAAUUUUGAGAGAUGGAUUUAAUGAGCCUUAGCUUCCAUUUGGGGUAUUAUAACAGUUUGACUGUUCAAAAAAAAACCACAAAGGCCUACCAUUUGUAAAAGUAGACACUCCAGGGUAUCUCAUAAGGUGCAUAUUGUGCCUUAACAUGCCCCCAUUUUUUCACCAAUAUAUGCCAAAGUAUGUGGUAAAAAAUAAUUUUGUGCAUUUUUUACAUACGGAUUGCAUUUUUGCUGGGCGUUUUGUAUAUUUCAUAUGUGCCACUAAGUUCAAACCCCCAAAUUAUGCUCAGCUAAGUCUUCUGAGUAAAAUGACACCCCAUAUGAAUGUCUUUGGCACUAUUUCGUGAAGCUACAGUGCCAUAUAGGAGACCAAGCCAUAUCCGUUUUUACCAAACUUUUAAUUUUGACGCUGGGCCUAUGUGCAAUUUCCAAGCAUCUUCGCAGGUUUUAAAUUCAAACUACCCCACAAAGGCCUACCAUUUCUUAAAGUAGACACCCCAGGGUGUUUCAAAAGGUAUAGUUUGAACCUUAGCGUGGGAUCAUUUUUCCGCUAGCUUGUACCAGAUGUAGUGGUAAUAAGCGUUUUUUCUGCCUUUUUGACAUACAAAGUGAGUUUGCACAGUAUAUUUUGCAAACCUUAUGUGUGCUACGACUGUAUAAUACUUCAUAUGUUGCUCAGCUAUGUCGGCUGAGUACAGCAAUACCCCCGUAUGUACCUUUGCCAGGUAUGUGUGGACAUCGGAGGGGCACAUUUGGGACACAGCCAUUCCAGUUUUUUUCAAACUUUGAAUUUUUAUGCUGUGCCUAUGUCCCAUUUUAGAGUAUUUUACCAGGCUAUAUAAUCCAAAUUCCCCAUAAAGCCAUACCAUUUCUUAAAGAAGACAUCCCAGGGUAUUUCAAAAGGCAUAUUUUGAACCUUAGCGUGGGAUCAUUUUUCCGCUAGCUUGUACCAAGUGUAGUGGUAAUAAGCAUUUUUUCUGCCUUUUUGACAUACAAAGUGAGUUUGCGCAGCAUAUUUUGCAAACCUUAUGUGUGCUAUGACUGUAUAAUACUUCAUAUGUUGCUCAGCUAUGUCGGCUGAGUACAGCAAUACCCCCGUAUGUACCUUUGCCAGAUAUAUGUGGAUGUUGAAGGGGCGCAUUUGAGACGCAGCCAUUCAGUUUUUUUCUAACUUUGAAGUUUUACGCUGUGUCCAUGUUCCAAUUUGGAGUAGUUUAGACGGUUGGUUAUUGAAACUUCCCCACAAACACAUACUAUUUAUUAAAGAAUACACCCUGGGGUAAUUCAAAAGGCAUAUUUUGAACCUUGGCGUGGGAUAAUUUUUUCUCUAGUUUGUUCCAGGUGUAGUGGUAAUGAGCGUUUUUAAAAUGUAUUUUUUUACUUUUUAUAACUUUUUUACUUUUAAAAACUAGUUUUUAAACUUUUGUUUUGCUUAUAAAUUUUUUUUAAACUUUCCUAAACUUUCUUAAAACUUUUUUACAGAUUUAACAUUUUUCUAAGCUUUUUUUUUUACCGUUAACCCCUAACUAGCAGUACGCAGCAGUAACAGUAAAUUCCCCAUUUUCCCAUAACUCCCACCCACCCCAGCUAGCAAAAUAUAUAGUUAUAAAAUAUUUAAAUUAAUUAAUUAAAUAAAUUGAACCCCUGAGGGUUAAAAAAUAAAUAAAAAGUUAAUCCUCAGGGGUUAAAAAAAAUUAGAUCACAGUAUAAUACUGUGAUCUCUAUUUGAUCGCUGUAGGCAGUGAUCGACUGGCAGGGAAGGGGUUAAUUUUUAUUUGGACUAGGUAAAGUGUGUUUUUUUUACUUAAAUGUUAUUAAAACAUUUUUUUAAGCUUAAUUUUUAACUUUUUUAAGUUUCUUUUAAAACUUUUUUUAACGUUAACCCCUAGUUAGCCUAACGCCAAAUCCCCCAAUUCCCCACUAACUUCCACCUACCCCAGCUAGCUAAAUAUAUAAUUAAAAAAUAGUUUAAUUAAUUAAUUUAAUUAAUUUAACCCCUGAGGGUUAAAAAAAAAAUAAUUAACCCUCAGGGGUUAAAAAAAAAAAUCAGAUCAUAGUAAAAUGUAAUCCCUGCCAAUUGAUCACUGUAGUCAGUGAUCAAUUGGCAGGGAAGGGGUUAAUUUUUUAUUAAAAUGGGUAAGGGGGGACUUUAAAUAAACUUUAUUUUUUUUUACAGCAGGGGGCAGGAUCAGCACUGAUCCGGCUCCCUGCACUUCACACAGAACCCGGAAGUGCAGGGAGCCGGUAGGUAAGUAUAGAGAGCACAUGUGCUCGCUCAGACUUGCGGUCAGAGCGAGCACAUGUGCUGGGCAGACUGACCGGGUGCUCCCGGUAUGCCUCUAAUGCAGAGACAUACCGGGAGCACCAUUAAACCCGCGAUCGCCGCGAUAGCGGCGAUCCGGGGUUAAUUUUACCGCGUGACGGACGAGGUCCGUCACCCGUCGUUAAGGGUCUCCCCUCUGUGACGGACCUCGUCCGUCACCCGUCCUGAAGGGGUUAAACAGGGAAUGGAGUUUUGCACAGGGGGUUAGGGUUUUGUAGGGUUUUGUACAGGGGGGUUAGGGUUUUGUACAGGGUUUUGUACAGGGGGUGGGGUUUGUACAGGGGUUAGGGUUUUGUACAGGGGGUGGGGGUUUUGUACAGGGGGUUGGAGUUUUUACAGGGGUGGGGGUUUUGUACAGGGGUUAGGGUUUGUACAGGGGGUGGGGUUUUUGUACAGGGGUUCUGAGUUUUGUACAGGGGGUUAGGGUUUUGUACAGGGGGUGGGGUUUUGUACAGGGGGUUAGGGUUUUGUACAGGGGGUGGGGUUUUGUACAGGGGGUUAGGGUUUUGUACAGGGGGGCUGGGGUUUUGUACUGGAAGCAGUCUUAAACCUGCAAUGUAAACAUUACAGUUUCUCAUGUUUGCAGCUGCAAGGCUAAAAUGACAAGGACAUUGUACUCAGAACUCUUCAUUGAGAUGAUUUGGUUUGGUUGCCUAUAGUGUCCCUUUAAGGUAGUUGUAUGUUCCUUUUAUGGUUAUUUAUCUAUACACUUUGAUAUAGUAAAGAUAAUUCAACACAUUUCAUUUUGCAUUUACCCCUUCACUAUCGAGCACUUUUUGAUUAAAAAUAUAUUAGUGUAAUAUUUAGUUGAAGUAAGGGAUGUAUAGUUAGCAUAUAUAUGUUUAGAUUGCUUUGCAGACCAACUUUUAAUUACGUACUUUUACCAAAAAAGAAAAAUGUCACUUGUUCUUUUAACCCCUUAAUGACCGCGGACGUACAGGGUACGUCAGACAAAAAAUGACUGCUGGUGUACCCUGUACGUCCAAGGCACAUUUGAGCACUGGAAGCAAUCAUGAUCACUUCCAACCGCUCUAAGGGUAUUGCAGCGAUGCCUCGAUGUCGAGGCAUCCUGCAAUACCCCCCCCUCACUGCCGGGCCGCCAGGUGAUCGCUGCCCUGGAGCGAUCACUUCUGGAUUGCUCCAUGUGGCAGUGAGGCAGAGUAUUGGAAGUCAUCAGGCAGGCUUCCGAAGCUCUGCCUGCGUGCUGAGUGCCUCGAGGGGUCGAGGCACUCAGUGAAGAUAAAAUAAUUUUUAACAAAUUUUAAAAUUAAUUUUUACAUGUAAAAAAAUUAAAUAUAUGUAUGCUGGUGAAAAAAAGUUAAAAAAAAGUAUUAAAAUAAAAAAAUAAAGUUAAUGAAUUAAAAAUCUAUGUAUAUCUAUGUAUAUAGAAAUAAAUAAAAAUAAUACAAAAUAUACAUAUUUCCAUAUACAUCAUUACAGAAAUAAUUUCAUAAAUAUACACAUAGACUUCAAAUAUAUAAAUUCUACGUGCAUAUUUAUGUAAUAUUUUUACAUAAUUAAUUGAUUGCAGUUUGGGUGACCUGCCUUACAACCCAGGCCGAAAGUCCAGAGAAUUUAAUUUGCUAGCACCUGUAACUUUCCAAGACACUCUAAAACCUGUACAUGGCGGCUACUGUUUUACUUGGUAGACUUUGCUGAACACAAAUAUUAGUGUUUCAAAACAGUAAUACAUAUCACAGUGAUAAUAUUGUCAGGGAAAGUGAAGUUUUUUGCAUUUUUCACACACAAAUGGCACUUUCACGGAUUAUAUCAUUGUUUUGAACCAGUUUUGAAAAACUAAUAUUUGUGUACAGCGAACUCUCCCGAGUAUAACAGUACCAUCUAUGUACAGGUUCUAUAGAGUUUUUGAAAGUUACAGGGUCAACUAUAAGGCUUGAUUUUCCGUUUUUUCAGUCUGUUGUUCAGUCUUUUUUAGUAGACACUUAGUCAUAAACACUGGCCAAAGUUAGCGUUCAUAAUAGUUUUUUGCAUUUUUAACACACAAACAAAUAUAAAUGCUAACUUUGGACAGUGUUUGUGACUAAGAGGCUACUAAAAAAGACUGGACAUACCCCAAAUUGAAUACCCUGGGUUGUCUACUUUAAAAAAAUAUGUACAUGUGAGGUGUGAUUCAGAGAUUUAUGACAGAUAACAGUGUUACAAUAUCAUUAUUGAUAAAUUGUAAAAAUAUAUAUUUUGAAACAUGUCCUACAUGUACUUAUAGCCCUAUAACUUUCCAAAAAAAGCUAAGAACAUGUUAACAUUGGGUAUUUCUAAACUCAGGACAAAAUUUAGAAACUAUUUAGCACCGGUGUUUUUUGUCGGUUGUAGAUGUGUAAGUUCAAAAAAGUGUUUUUUUACAUGUGCUCAUCAUAUUUUAUAAAAACAUUUUAUACUAAAUUAUAUCAUGUGAUGAAAAUAAUGGUACCUUUAGAAAGACCAUUUAAUGGUGAGAAAAACAGUUUAUAAUAUAUAUGGAUACAGUAAAUGAGUAAGAAGAAAAUUACAGCUAAACAUAAACACCGCAAAUGUAAAAACAGCUCUGGUCCAAAACGGUAAGAAAAUUGAAAAGCGGUCUGGUCACUAAGGGGUUAAAAAGAUAUUUUGAAUAUGAAAAACUUUAGACAGUAUACAGUAUCCUUCAUCUUGUAAAUUUCACACAGGGUUUGAGAUGUUAAAAAAAUUAAAUUUUCUCACACAUAGUGUAAAAAUGUGACAAACAGAUAAGAAAAAAUGCUCACAUAGAAACAUAGAAACAUAGAAACAUAGAAUGUGACGGCAGAUAAGAACCAUUCGGCCCAUCUAGUAUGCCCAAUUUUCUAAAUACUUUCAUUAGUCCCUAGUCUUAUCUUAUAGUUAGGAUAGCCUUAUGCCUAUCCCACGCAUGCUUAAACUCCUUUACUGUGUUAACCUCUACCACUUCAGCUGGAAGGCUAUUCCAUGCAUCCACUACCCUCUCAGUAAAGUAAUACUUCCUGAUAUUAUUUUUAAACCUUUGUCCCUCUAAUUUAAGACUAUGUCCUCUUGUUGUGGUAGUUUUUCUUCUUUUAAAUAUAGUCUCCUCCUUUACUGUGUUGAUUCCCUUUAUAUAUUUAAAUGUUUCUAUCAUAUCCCCCCUAUCUCUUCUUUCCUCCAAGCUAUACAUGUUAAGAUCCAUAGAAAACAUACCUUGUUGAUAGGUAUUUGCAAGGACCCUGAAGGCAUUAUUAGAAGUUUAACUUACUAAAAAUGUCAGAAGAAUGUAAAAAAGAAUGUCAGCAUUUUAGCAUAAUUUCCACAUACAGUAAAUGCAGAUAAUUCACAUAUUUCUAAAAUAAAGGUAUUUAAAACUGCUAUGGCAAUCUUUAUCACUCUGUGGACUGCUAAUGCAAUGCUAGCAUUGAAAUGUAUGAAUUAUAUGACGCACUGAAACAUCCUGCACUGUUUGAAAGCAGGGGAUUAAUUUCCAUUUACAGGUAUUAUAUCAGUGAUGUGUGGUUUCCAUGAGAGAUAUUUGUUUUUUACAGCCUGAGAGUCAUAAUUAGAAUAUACAUGAGGGUGAGUGAGGCUUUGUGGACUAGAUGUCAUACUACAAAAUACAUGAAAAUAAAAACAUUUAUACUUUAUUUCGGUAUUGAAGGGGUUCAACUAUUUAUCGUUUCAUUUUAUAGUAUCAUUUUAAAAUAGACUGUUAUGAGCCAUCAAAUCCCAGAAAUACAAAAUUUUCCCAACUAUUUCCACAAGGAUAUAUAAUAUAAGGUGGACUUGAAGGUACCAUAUAUUGGGGAACCGGUUUCAGAGAGAACAGCGGUUUGUAUUAAAUGAUUAAACAAAUCAUUUUUGGUAACCAGAUAUAUAUAUAUAUUUUUUAAAGUAUUCCAAAAUUUAAACUUUUGUUACAAAAUAUGGGGCCAUGUCAGCCCAGUGCAUGAAUGAACACUGCGAUGUACCGCAGAUUUGUCUGGCAAACAACUACACUAACAGCGCACAGCCCUCUCAAGCCCAUUUCAUUCCACUGCCACUCUUUCCAAGUAAUUUUUAUCUACAUGUCUUUAAUCUAUUUUCAGUUAAUAUAUCUACUUAUUUGAUAUAUCCCCUCACUGUCUGUCCUCUCUCAAAGUUCAGUAUUUCCCUGCCUUUUCAUUCCCUAUCUGUGAAUCCUCUCAGUCACACUUGCAUUUUAACCUCUCGUGUCUUUUCCUUCGCGAUGAGCAAAAACGGUGUCUGCUAUUUCACUUGUAAAGUCAAGACAAGCGUGAGUAAGCCGGGAGUCAUACACUAAUCCUCUUCCCAUAUUGUAUUUCCAGAAACAGGAGAAGCCUCUUACACAAGACAACUGGGAAGAAACAAAAUUAACACCCUUACGUACAGCCUUCAUCAAUUCAGUUUCCUGAAUAAGGAAAUGAAUACUUUGUUAGAGGUCCUGCAGAUGUUUACUAUAUAAAUGAGGCCUAAGGAGGAAUGUUCGUCACUAAUGUAUAAAAGUAUAUUCAACAGGGGGACGGGGCAUGACUGUAAUGGCGCCUGGACACAUUUUCAGCAAGCUCCUCGAGCAAAUCUCAAUUUACCCUAACUACCUGCAUCAACAGCUAUUAAUCUGAGGCAACUCGAGCGGCUCAAGUACCCAGCACCGACUAUCCGGCUCGGGGUUUCUUACAGCAGUCACCUGAAGCCCUCUAGACGCAGAUCUACGAGUGUGGCCUGGUGUACGCCGGAGAUGGGAGAGGCAGACAAUCUCCCUACCCGGUGGGAGCUGGCUACCCUGCACACAGUACAAGCGCCCUGCUACCCCCCCUCUGGCCGGCAGGAGUCAUCCCGGCCCGCACCCUGGGGACAGCACCACAAGCGGCACUCCCAAAAUGGCGGUCGCUGCGUGCUCCACUGACCCACAGAGCAUGAUAUCCAGGCUGGACAGCAUCUUCGAGGCGUUCUGGAGGAAGCUGCAGAACAGACAACUAAAAGCUGCCACACGACUCCACAAUACCUACCCACUGGAGAAAGCACCAAGACGCCAGCAAGCCGCCGCGUGGUAAAAAAACUCCCAUAAGACGCGCCGCACAUGAAUAAGACCAUGAAAAUUGUGGCGGGAGGCGCACAAGCCUCCUCCGGGGUCAAGUAUCUGGACCUCCAGGCGAAGGGAAGUGGUCGGGAACUCACACGAGGAACCGGAGAGGCUUAUUACAGUCACGCUGACAGCAGUCCAGCGCCGAGCCUGGCCGAUCCGCAGACUCUGGGGUGACUAUGUCCUACCUACCGCAGGCAUAGGUUAAAUGGGACCAGGCUUCAACCUCACUCCCUAACACUGUUACCAAUCAAAUACCAUGGACAUCCUUCUUGUACAUCCAUCUCUGUACCGAGAUUGACGGACUCAUUCAGAAAGCUCGACCUCCUAUGCCUAGGGUUGGCUACCUGGGAGUCCCUAGGGUGUUUCCAAGCUACCUUUCAUGUCUGGCAAUUCUUUUGUUCAUACACUCAAUCUUAGUAAAUCAAACAGCUAUGUAUGCUUAGCUUAAACAUUUGUGUAUAUCAUCACUAUAUCAUUUCUUGCCUACCUCAUGUUUCUACCUUGCUAUCGCAAAAAAAAAAAUUGUGCAGCAUCCCUUGACUACCCUUACCAAUUGUUUAUGAUGAUUUAAUAUGUUGAACAAGUCAUUGUUUAUGCCUGUAAUCUAC